Molecule: non-coding RNA, 388 nt
Organism: Pelobates cultripes (western spadefoot toad)
Lineage: Eukaryota; Metazoa; Chordata; Amphibia; Anura; Pelobatidae
Source: the annotation of a GenBank genome assembly
UUUCGGUUUCCGUUUCGGCCUAGAAUUUGCAUUUCAGUGCAUCCCUAAUUACGAACUAAUUACAGUGGAUUGAGGUUUUUAAGAAGUAAUACGUGGAUUUAACGCUUGGGACUAGAUACAUCCUGACUAAUGUCUAUGUUACCGGUCAUCUCUUGUGCAAAAUAAGUUUAACCUGUAGUGAGUGAUAGAAUGUAUAGCUUGAUCACGUCAUUUUUACGCCUGUUAGGUGCUUGCUCAAUCCCGUUGCUCUCGGGAGUUUGGGGGGGGUAUUAGUUAGCUAGUUGAGCUUUUAGAGCUGAGGGUGGUUGUUUGAACCUGUGAUACAUGCCGUAGUGUUAUCAUCUAGGGAACAAACCUAAGAUACAUGCCAUCGUGUUAUUAACUAAGG